Molecule: small RNA, 757 nt
Filed under: Pongo abelii (Sumatran orangutan)
Lineage: Eukaryota; Metazoa; Chordata; Mammalia; Primates; Hominidae
Description: retained intron
Source: RNAcentral
GAACAGGGGAAAAGUUCCAUGACUUUUUAAAACUAUGUAUUAUAUAUGUUUAAGACAUAUUUUAUGUUUAAAACUAGCAAUAGUGAAGAAUUGGUUCUGAUCUUAUUAAUUCUGUAGUGUUGUUCAUUUAUUUUAAAAAUCUUAUUUUUCACUUUUUUCAGAUUGAAGAUAAAACUUUCCAAGUCCUUGGUGAUCUUUACAGCGAGGGAGACUGCACUUACCUGAAAUGUUCUGUUAAUGGAGUUGCUAGUAAAGUGAAGCUGAUUAUCCUGGAAAACACUAUUUACCUAUUUUCCAAGGAAGGAAGUACUGAGAUUGACAUUCCAGUCCCCAAAUACUUAUCUUCUGUGAGCUCACAAGGAACUCAGGGAGGCCCCUUAGCUCCUAUGACUGGAACCAUUGAAAAGGUGUUUGUCAAAGCUGGAGACAAAGUGAAAGCGGGAGAUUCCCUCAUGGUUAUGAUCGCCAUGAAGAUGGAGCAUACCAUAAAGGCUCCAAAGGAUGGCACAAUAAAGAAAGUGUUCUACAGAGAGGGUGCUCAGGCCGACAGACACACUCCUUUAGUCGAGUUUGAGGAGGAAGAAUCAGACAAAAGGGAAUCGGAAUAAACUCCAGUAAGGAAAUGGCCAAUUAAGUAGUGUCUUCUCUCUCCACCAAAAAGAGGAAGUGCCUCCAGCUUUUCUUGGGGUGUCAUAAAGAGCAGUUUUACUAAGUGAUUGUAUGCUUGUGCUGAACACCCUUCAUAUUGGAGAAUCAU